This is a non-coding RNA of Cricetulus griseus (Chinese hamster), 2041 nucleotides long. The record is from RefSeq and is a predicted model, not a curated record. Lineage: Eukaryota; Metazoa; Chordata; Mammalia; Rodentia; Cricetidae.
UUAAAAGGUAAAAUAUUUCAAAUGCAUAGUAAUAUUUGAGAUCAUAAUACAUUAGCUUGGUUUUCUUGCAAAAUAUAUCUUACUUAGUAUUUAACUUCACAUAAAAUAGUAAGCUACUCAUUAAACUCAGACCUAUAUUAGGGUUUUUUGUUUGUUUGUUUUUUUUUGUCUUGACAGCUUGUUGCAGAGUCCCCAACAUUGUCUAAUUCCAUAAUUAAACAUAAUUCCAGGAACAUGAUAAUGGCAAAUGCCAAAAUUAUCUGUUCCAAGUUUAUAUCAGAGGACAGACAUGAACUUUUCCUCUAACAUCCUCUAUUCAGGGUUAGCACACUGCAAACAAACACAGCACAGUCUUCACCUUGGAUCUGGAGAGCAUCAGUUAGCACAGAUCUGGCCUCCUGUCAGCAACUCUCAAUGGACUCGCCCUGCUGAGGUGUCUCGACUUGAACCACAGGGCUGGGAUGUUUCACUUGGUAGGUACUCCUGCUGUGAAAGCAUGAGGACCCACAUUCUGGUUCCCAACGCCCACCUAAGAAAUUGGAGGAGGCCCAGACCUGCAAUCCCAGUGCAUGAAGAGAAAAGACAGGCUGGCUCCAGACUCCUGCUCUUCUUGUUCUCUGUCUCUUGCUGAGGAUGGUCAGCAGAUGCUCGUGGUCCAAACAGGGCUGAAAGCAGACUACUAAGGAGGCAGUUAAUACAUACCAGCAACUGAAACAGCCUGUAUAUAAGAGCUGCUGACAUAGUGCAUGGUCUACCUUGUAUGCUAGUAUGACUGCUUCAGCUGCCUGGAUGCAGCUGGGAUAAGGACUGCAUUACUUCACAGGGUGUUGUGAAGAGGAGAGGAGAUAGAAAUACCUGAUAAGAGCCUGUCUCCUACCUGCCACUGGUGGAGUGCUCUCAGGUCAGUGGAGUAGUGAACAAUUCCCUGUGCUAUCUUUGCUCUGGGCAGCUUCAGAUACAGCUGAGGCAACUGAGGGCCCAGGAGGUAAGUGAAAACACAGCUUGGAAAUAAAAGAAUAAAAACCCCUUUUUAUUUUCCAACAGUAAAUAUUUGUUAACAAUUUCCAAUCAGAGUACAUUUUAUUCUGGCUGGAAUAAUGAAAAGGUUGCUUUGGGAACUGACAAGCCUUUGAAAUAAAUAGCUCAACAGGGACAUAUGCCUAUCAUUCUGUCACUAGAGAGGAUGAAGCAGGAGGAUUGUGAGUUCAAAGCUGGUAUGAGUAACUUAGAUUCCAUCUCAUAAAUCAAAUGUUGAAAAUGAAUUGAGAAAUAGUCUUUUGGGUACCUAUUUUUUUUUGUUUUUGAAAACUAGUUUAAAACAUGCAUGGAUCUUUCAGUUAUGAUUAAGUUGACAAGAAAGCUAUAUAUUCUGUUCUGAGAGGAAAAAGUUCAUUUUGGAUGAAAUUUUACUUUUCAACCAGCAAAUGCUUCUUUGGAAGGAGGAAGAGCCAGUGAUGUCUUGUGACCGAACCUUUGUAAUCUGGAAUGUCAAGGUCAGGAAACUCUGUCACUUUGUGUAUUACAAGUGUUUUGUGAGUUUUUAUUCCGUUUUCUUUUUUAACUCCUUCCAUGUUGUGAGCUCCAACAACACACUCUAAUUAUUCAUUCUUGCUGACUUGGACAGAAUUUUAAAUCCUGGUCAACCCUCAAGCGCCAUACUGCUUUUGCUCUCCUUGCUUAUUUUCUUUCCUAUUUGCUUCAUUGCAGGUUCCCGUCUGGCCUGCUCGACACUCCCUUCGAUUUUUCUUUUUUUGGCUCUGGGAACUCCUUGGUGACAAUGGGGAACAGAAGUUCCAUGUUACACUUUGAAGCACACAGCAACUGAGCUGUUUCUGGGAGUCUGCAGUAAAUAGUCUUUUUAACUGACUGAAAGUUAAGCUGCCUGGAGGUUGGGGACAACUCUACACCCACCCUUAAGGCACACAGCAAUUAUUGUAAAGGACACAGAGUUCCCUGUUAUUGGCACUCAGUGGCAUAUGUGCAAGGAAUCAGGGUAGCUUGUAUUUUCCUUGAAGAUCAACAACAUUAAAAAAAAAAAAAA